Molecule: long non-coding RNA, 1862 nt
Organism: Mercenaria mercenaria
Lineage: Eukaryota; Metazoa; Mollusca; Bivalvia; Venerida; Veneridae
Exons: 2
Source: RefSeq, a predicted model, not a curated record
CUGUAAGGUAAUGCCAUCCUGCAAGUUCCGGUCAGAUUGCAUGAGUAAGACAAGAGUUAUGGCCUUUUGUACAUAUAUAAUAUGGUGUUUGAUUCCAUUUUCUGUCCGCCUGGAGUCAUAUCUCAGACAUUGAUAGAAGGAUUCAGUGAAAAUUGCUUCAGGAACACAUGAGGCUUUCCCUUUGUAUUUAUAUAAUGCUUAUUAUAUAGGCCAUAUCUUAAAUUCAAUGCCGUUUUAUGAUCCAUUUUUGUUAUGGAAUAUUGUGAUCAAGCUUAGUAUAUAUAUAUGAUUUAAUUGGAAACUUGUAUGUUGUAUAUUUUGGUCUCUGGGGUCAAGGUCAAGGUCGCCUUUACUAAAACUAGAAAAAUUGUUUCUGAUCAAUAACUUCACCAAGAAAAAAGCAUAUUGCAUCCAUACUUGGAAUUUAGAAGUCUGGCAUGGAGACCAUGGUUUUAGAUGUAGUUUGGCUUGAUUAAGUCAAUGUCAAGAACGUUGUUCCUAAAAAUAGAAACGUUGUCUUCUCACGGUAACUUCACUUAAAAAUGAUGUAAGCAGACCAAACCUUGUAAACAGGUAGCUUUCAUCGAGACAAGUUUUUGUUUCAUUUUAGGUAGCGCGGGUCAAGGUAGUUGUUACUAAAUAUAGAAGAAUGGGUUUCAAUCAAUAAUUUAGAAUGAAUAGCUUUCAAAAAGACUGAAAUGCAAUGCUUCUUCAAAGGUAAAACCUUUAUUCCCUUCGGCGGGGGAUACCAAUUCACUGACUUUGCUUGUUAAGGCAGUUCUGCACGUUUGAUAAACCGGAAGUGAUGGCGUAACGUCAUUUAUCACGGUGUAGUGCAUUACCAAGAAAUCACGAUAAAACGAAACGAUAAAAGUGAGUUCCUUUUCCUGUUUAUAGACUGAAUUCGUAAAUUUUAUCAAUGAAAUAUCUUAAGUACUAGUCAUUUGGUUGAUAACUGUCCUAUAUAAGUCGACUUGCCUUGCAAGAAUUUUAUUUAGAGGGGGUAGCGAAGCAAUACCACUACAAGAUUAGUCAGAAAACAAGAGGGAUUUUAAUUUGUUAUCAUCCGGAAAAAAACUGACUGACGAUAAAUAUUUGGUGAAGAUAAUGUCUUUUUCACAAAGGAUUUCGGUUGUUAUUAUCGCAAUUAUACUGAUAUGGAAGGUCACACAGACAGAGAGCCAGUACUGUCAGUGGGUUAAAGGUUACGGCUGCAGGGACACUACAAUUGAAUCGUUGGGACAAAGGUCGGUGUGCUAGAUAUGGCGACAGAAAAGGAAAGGUUAUGGCAUGUCAGCAGUAUGGUAAACAUUGCCGAUGCAACGUAAUUGGCAAUAUACCUCAUGACGGGUCAGAAUACUAUGACAAAUUUUUGUAUUCUGAGUAUUCUGAAAUAUAUUAAACCGUUCUACAAUAAUUAAAAUGGCUUCAAUAUUACAUUCCUUUAAAAUCAAUUUGAAAACAUUCUAGUAGUCGUAAGACUGAUAGUGAUAAAAUGGAAGGAUAUUUGAAGGUGAAUGCACUAAUAUUCUGUGUUUAUUAAACAAACUUUGAGAUUAUAUGAUUAUUAUAAUAAUUUAAAUAAAACAAACAAUAGAUGUUUGUUUAAAUUCAAAGAUGUAUCUUUUGUUGAUAUAAACUUCAAAAAUUGCAUAAUGAAUAUACAGCUGUUUUUUCUUCAGCCGCAAGUUUUUAAUUUUCUGUAUAACCUAGGUAGGUUAUACAUGACACUAAUUUGUUAAUUGAAAGUGAAAAAAUGCAAAUUUGUUUCUCGGAUAUAUAUCAAUCAAACUGUAGAAAAAGUUUCGAACUUGCAGAAGUAAUAAAAGACAAUAUAUCAGCAAAAGCUUUGAAACAUUCUA